CGACAGGCUUAACACAUGCAAGUCGAGGGGCAGCGGGGCUGUAGCAAUACGGCUGCCGGCGACCGGCGCACGGGUGAGUAACGCGUAUGCAACCUGCCCCAUGCAGGGGGAUAACCGGGGGAAACCCCGACUAACACCGCGUAAGCCGCGAUGACGCAUGUCAUUGCGGUGAAAUAUUUAUAGGCAAGGGAUGGGCAUGCGUAAUAUUAGGAAGUUGGCGGGGUAACGGCCCACCAAUCCGACGAUAUUUAGGGGUUCUGAGAGGAAGGUCCCCCACAUUGGUACUGAGACACGGACCAAACUCCUACGGGAGGCAGCAGUGAGGAAUAUUGGUCAAUGGGCGAGAGCCUGAACCAGCCAAGUCGCGUGAGGGAAGAAGGUUCUAUGGAUUGUAAACCUCUUUAGUGCAGGGGCAAAAGGCGCCACGUGUGGCGUAUUGAGAGUACUGCAAGAAUAAGCAUCGGCUAACUCCGUGCCAGCAGCCGCGGUAAUACGGAGGAUGCGGGCGUUAUCCGGAUUUAUUGGGUUUAAAGGGUGCGCAGGCGGCGCGUCAAGUCAGAGGUAAAAUGUCGGUGCUCAACAUCGGCCGGCCUCUGAAACUGGCGGGCUAGCGUGGGCGGGAGGCAUGCGGAAUGCGCCGUGUAGCGGUGAGAUGCAUAGAUAUGGCGCAGAACCCCGAUUGCGAAGGCAGCAUGCCGUCGCCCAACGGACGCUGAGGCACGAAAGCGUGGGUAUCGAACAGGAUUAGAUACCCUGGUAGUCCACGCAGUAAACGAUGAAUACUAGCUGUCCGGGCCGAUUGGGGCCUGGGUGGCACAGCGAAAGCGUUAAGUAUUCCACCUGGGGAGUACGCCGGCAACGGUGAAACUCAAAGGAAUUGACGGGGGCCCGCACAAGCGGAGGAACAUGUGGUUUAAUUCGAUGAUACGCGAGGAACCUUACCCGGGCUCGAACGCAAGACCAAUGGCAUGGAAACGUGCCAGCCAGCAAUGGGGUAUUGCGAGGUGCUGCAUGGUUGUCGUCAGCUCGUGCCGUGAGGUGUCGGCUUAAGUGCCAUAACGAGCGCAACCCCCGCGUCCAGUUGCCAGCGCGUAAAGGCGGGGACUCUGGACGGACUGCCGGCGCAAGCCGCGAGGAAGGCGGGGAUGAC
RNAcentral lists this ribosomal RNA (1150 nucleotides) under uncultured bacterium. RNAcentral describes it as "bacterial SSU rRNA". It matches the Rfam family "Bacterial small subunit ribosomal RNA", at positions 40 to 1183 of the family's 1533-position model. The record is from RNAcentral.